CCACGGGUCAAAAGUUUGGACACCCCGGCCCCCCAGUACUGUGUGUAAUGGAGCCACGGGUCAAAAGUUUGGACACCCCGGCCCCCCAGUACUGUGUGUAAUGGAGCCACGGGUCAAAAGUUUGGACACCCCGGCCCCCCAGUACUGUGUGUAAUGGAGCCACGGGUCAAAAGUUUGGACACCCCGGCCCCCCAGUACUGUGUGUAAUGGAGCCACGGGUCAAAAGUUUGGACACCCCAGAGCCCCAGUACUGUGUGUAAUGGAGCCACGGGUCAAAAGUUUGGACACCCCAGCCCCCCAGUACUGUGUGUAAUGGAGCCACGGGUCAAAAGUUUGGACACCCCAGCCCCCCAGUACUGUGUGUAAUGGAGCCACGGGUCAAAAGUUUGGACACCCCAGAGCCCCAGUACUGUGUGUAAUGGAGCCACGGGUCAAAAGUUUGGACACCCCAGAGCCCCAGUACUGUGUGUAAUGGAGCCACGGGUCAAAAGUUUGGACACCCCAGAGCCCCAGUACUGUGUGU
Astyanax mexicanus (Mexican tetra) is the source of this 523-nucleotide long non-coding RNA. RefSeq lists it as uncharacterized. The transcript has 3 exons. Lineage: Eukaryota; Metazoa; Chordata; Actinopteri; Characiformes; Acestrorhamphidae. The record is from RefSeq and is a predicted model, not a curated record.